UUUUCCUAUUUUUAAUUCUAUUUAAAAAAAUUUUAAGUAACAUUUCUUUAGACUUGCGUAAUUUACAAAUGAACUAGCUCUAUUAGGUAGUUCAUUUCGGGAAACCACUAAAUUCGAUUGUGGAGUUGAUUUUUUUUGAACAUAUUUAGACUUUGGAACAUAUAUUGUUAUCCAUUUAUUUUCGGUGUCAUCCUCUAGCAAAAAGAGGAAUGCUUUCAAGGUAGAUUCUGUGCAAAUUACAUAACAGAUGCAUUUUCUUUUUGCUUUUUUGGAUUUCUAGUAAACUAAAAUUCUUUUUGGCAACAUGGCGUUUAAGCCGUCAUACAAAAAUCGUGUCAAGACUGUCGUAUCCGCAAUAAAAACCACUUUCCAUUGGGGUUUUAUGCCGCUAAUAAUCUAUUUAGGCUUAAGAACUGGGGCUGAGCCAGGUAAGCCUGCAUUGAGUGUGUGGAGCUUGCUGCCAUUCCAUUUUUAACAAUUAAGAAUAUCAUAGUA
Molecule: long non-coding RNA, 495 nt
Organism: Teleopsis dalmanni
Lineage: Eukaryota; Metazoa; Arthropoda; Insecta; Diptera; Diopsidae
Exons: 3
Source: RefSeq, a predicted model, not a curated record